This 441-nucleotide ribosomal RNA is filed under the name uncultured bacterium. Its description in RNAcentral is "partial 16S ribosomal RNA". It matches the Rfam family "Bacterial small subunit ribosomal RNA", at positions 338 to 795 of the family's 1533-position model. The record is from RNAcentral.
CCUACGUGUGGCAGCAGUGGGGAAUAUUGCACAAUGGGGGAAACCCUGAUGCAGCAACGCCGCGUGAAGGAAGACGGCUUUCGGAUUGUAAACUUCUGUUCUCAGUGAAGAAUAAUGACGGUAGCCAAGGAGCUAACCACGGCCAACUACGUGCCAGCAGCCGCGGUUAUACGUAGGUUGCAAGCGUUGUCCGGAAUUACUGGGUGUAAAGGGAGCGCAGGCGGGAAGCCAAGUCAGCUGUGAAAACUUUGGGCUUAACUUGUAGACUGCAGUUGAAACUGGUUAUCUUGAGUGAAGUAGAGGUUGGCGGAAUUCCGAGUGUAGCGGUGAAAUGCGUAGAUAUUCGGAGGAACACCAGUGGCGAAGGCGGCCAACUGGGCUUUAACUGACGCUGAGGCUCGAAAGCGUGGGGAGCAAACAGGAUUAGAUACCCUUGUAGUC